Molecule: ribosomal RNA, 217 nt
Filed under: Triticum aestivum (bread wheat)
Lineage: Eukaryota; Viridiplantae; Streptophyta; Magnoliopsida; Poales; Poaceae
Description: partial small subunit ribosomal RNA
Source: RNAcentral
GUUGCAUUAUUAGAACAGAACCAACCUACUGUCAGGAGCCAAUUAUUUCAGAGUAGCAAGUGUAAAGGAGAAAAAGUACAUUAAAUAAUUUGUUCUCCCUCUCACGGUAAGACAAAAGGUAGCAAGAGAAAGCCCGCAGUAGCGCCAAACUCUAGAAGGGUGGCGAGCAUGGACACCACUGCACUCCAGCUCCUCGACCUCAGCAAGAAAGAGCAUG